GUGGCCUCCCCCCGUGGGAUAAAUCCCCCCUAAGAAUUUAGAUCUGGCUCAAAAAAAACGCGGGGGGCAGGCUAACCCAGAAAUUGAAAGGAUGCCUUCGGGCAUGGGGCGCACGGGUGAGUAACACGUGGGAACAUACCUUUUGGUGGGGGAUAACUUCGGGAAACUGAAGCUAAUACCGCAUACGCCCCUUGGGGGAAAGAUUUAUCGCCGAAAGAUUGGCCCGCGUCCGAUUAGCUAGUUGGUGAGGUAAUGGCUCACCAAGGCUCCGAUCGGUAGCUGGUCUGAGAGGAUGACCAGCCACACUGGGACUGAGACACGGCCCAGACUCCUACGGGAGGCAGCAGUGGGGAAUAUUGGACAAUGGGCGCAAGCCUGAUCCAGCCAUGCCGCGUGAGUGAUGAAGGCCUUAGGGUUGUAAAGCUCUUCACCCACGACGAUGAUGACGGUAGUGGAGAGAGCC
This 463-nucleotide ribosomal RNA is filed under the name uncultured Pseudomonadota bacterium. RNAcentral describes it as "bacterial SSU rRNA". It matches the Rfam family "Bacterial small subunit ribosomal RNA", at positions 1 to 492 of the family's 1533-position model. The record is from RNAcentral. Lineage: Bacteria; Pseudomonadati; Pseudomonadota.